This is a long non-coding RNA of Lutra lutra (Eurasian river otter), 1036 nucleotides long. RefSeq lists it as uncharacterized. The record is from RefSeq and is a predicted model, not a curated record. The transcript is spliced from 4 exons. Lineage: Eukaryota; Metazoa; Chordata; Mammalia; Carnivora; Mustelidae.
CUCACCAAAUGCCUUCACCCUGCUCUGCACUCCAGCGGUCUGCUGGGUGCCCUUUUGCCUCCUUGGCUUCUGGCUGGGUUUGAGACCUAUUCCUUCCCCACCUCCCUCCCUUCCAGGUCCCCGCAGACGAGCUGAGUCCACGGAAGAAGGCCACAAGCUGGGGCCCCGCGAGGCUUUUCUCCAGGGUGACUGUAGGAUAACCCUGGAAACUCCCUCAGUGCCUCCAUAUGUAUAACUCAGAACCAUGAGGGCAUUGAUGCUCAUAGGGCCGCCCUUAACCAAUGGUGAAAGGAAGUUGAUGGCUGUUUCCAAACCUUCGCAGUAUCAGUGAUUUCAAGGAAUCCUCAUCUCCUUCUGGAGAGAUGAGUGGAAACCAAGGCAAGAGAGGGGACCACCCUAAGGCAACACCUCUGUUGGCCACUGAGCUGGGACUCCGGCCCUCUUGUUCUUUCAACUCUUGGUGACUGGAAAUCUUUCAUUCUCCAGGUUUCCCUCUCUGCCUUUGGAAAGCACAGCUAAGGGACCUAACGGAAUUCUUCGCAUGCUCAGGAUUACCUUUCAGAAUGAAAACAUUGGAGAGCAAAGUGGGUUUGUAGCCUACAGACCCUCCUUCCAGCCCAUGCGGCCUCCCAGCACCUCCUUGGGCCUGGGGGUCGCAAAGGGGUGAGGGCCGACUUCCAGCUGACUCCCCGCAAGUGGGUGACGUCUGAAAAGGUCAGAAGGGCACUGCUCCGGCUUGAUAGUUCAGUGUCAGCUCUGCUGCGGGAUAUCUGAGAACACCUUGAGCAAGUCAAGGUGCACCUCUGUUUCCUCAUGUAUAAGAAAAGAGAUUAUGUCUCAGCUGCCUUGCUGAUAACCCAAAAGGGACUUGUUUAAGGACACCAGUGACGUGUUAUAGGCACUUAAAAAAAAAAAAGAACGCUUUUUUAUUAUGAAAAACUUCAAACCACAUUUAAUGUCAACCAAAUGAUAUAAUGAACCCCCACGGAUGCUUAGUCUGUCAUUAACUGUUCUGUCUCUUGUUUCAUCUGUACCU